Molecule: ribosomal RNA, 266 nt
Filed under: uncultured bacterium
Lineage: Bacteria
Description: partial 16S ribosomal RNA
Rfam family: Bacterial small subunit ribosomal RNA
Source: RNAcentral
GUCCACGCCGUAAACGAUGAGUACUAGGUGUUGCGGGUAUUGACCCCUGCAGUGCCGCAGCUAACGCAUUAAGUACUCCGCCUGGGAAGUACGGUCGCAAGACUAAAACUACAAGGAAUUGACGGGGGCCCGGCACAAGCGGUGGAGCAUGUGGUUUAAUUCGACGCAACGCGCAGAACCUUACCUGGGCUUGACAUCUACGGAACCCUCCCGAACGGAGGGGUGCCCUUCGGGGAGCCGUAAGACAGGUGCUGCAUGGCUGUCGU